Molecule: ribosomal RNA, 497 nt
Filed under: uncultured bacterium
Lineage: Bacteria
Description: partial 16S ribosomal RNA
Rfam family: Bacterial small subunit ribosomal RNA
Source: RNAcentral
GAUGAACGCUGGCGGCGUGCCUAAUACAAGCAAGUCGAGCGAACAGAUAAGGAGCUUGCUCCUUUGACGUUAGCGGCGGACGGGUGAGUAACACGUGGAUAACCUACCUAUAAGACUGGGAUAACUUCGGGAAACCGGAGCUAAUACCGGAUAACAUAUUGAACCGCAUGGUUCAAUAGUGAAAGGCGGCUUUGCUGUCACUUAUAGAUGGAUCCGCGCCGUAUUAGCUAGUUGGUAAGGUAACGGCUUACCAAGGCAACGAUACGUAGCCGACCUGAGAGGGUGAUCGGCCACACUGGAACUGAGACACGGUCCAGACUCCUACGGGAGGCACCAGUAGGGAAUCUUCCGCAAUGGGCGAAAGCCUGACGGAGCAACGCCGCGUGAGUGAUGAAGGUCUUCGGAUCGUAAAACUCUGUUAUCAGGGAAGAACAAAUGUGUAAGUAACUGUGCACAUCUUGACGGUACCUGAUCAGAAAGCCACGGCUAACUACGUG